GCGUAACGCACUUCUUGGGCGUUUCCUCCCUAGACUGAGGCCGCGGGUCCGCCCGCGGCCCUUUUUUGCGUGAUU
This 75-nucleotide small RNA is filed under the name Azospirillum sp. B510. RNAcentral describes it as "Makes More Granules Regulator RNA (mmgR)". It matches the Rfam family "Makes More Granules Regulator RNA (mmgR)". From Rfam's summary of the family: SuhB later renamed mmgR (makes more granules regulator) was a putative non-coding RNA found multiple times in the Agrobacterium tumefaciens genome and related alpha-proteobacteria. Lineage: Bacteria; Pseudomonadati; Pseudomonadota; Alphaproteobacteria; Rhodospirillales; Azospirillaceae. The record is from Rfam by way of RNAcentral.